UUAUCUCCAGUCCAACCCAAUAAAAGGAAUCCCAUCUGAGCAAGAUCCCACACAAUCUGGCAACACUGAUUGCUGUUAGCAGCUUUAUUUUUCUGUAUUAUUCUCACAUGAAAUUACUGUUUUAUCAAAUUAUUAUGGUCUUUUCAUUUAUUGUAGUAUUUGCAUGCAUAAUUAAUCCUUUAAAAUCCUUUAGGAAAUAGCUGGGGCCAAAGCACUGCCUGAUAAAGCCUUCAAGACCAAACUGUAUAAGAAACUACUGAAGACGUGUGGGGAGUUUAAGCCACCACAGGAGGAGGAGAACUUUGACAUUCAUGUUCUUGAGAUGGGUUUUGGUGAAGUGGGUAAAGAGCCCAUUGAUAAUGUUCAUUUCUACAGCAAGAAUGAGCCAAACAGAGCCUUCAAGAUGCAGAAGUA
Long non-coding RNA from Cyprinus carpio (common carp), 414 nucleotides. RefSeq lists it as uncharacterized. Lineage: Eukaryota; Metazoa; Chordata; Actinopteri; Cypriniformes; Cyprinidae. The transcript is spliced from 3 exons. The record is from RefSeq and is a predicted model, not a curated record.